Molecule: ribosomal RNA, 465 nt
Filed under: Vreelandella stevensii
Lineage: Bacteria; Pseudomonadati; Pseudomonadota; Gammaproteobacteria; Oceanospirillales; Halomonadaceae
Description: partial 16S ribosomal RNA
Rfam family: Bacterial small subunit ribosomal RNA
Source: RNAcentral
CCUACGGGAGGCAGCAGUGGGGAAUAUUGGACAAUGGGCGAAAGCCUGAUCCAGCCAUGCCGCGUGUGUGAAGAAGGCCUUCGGGUUGUAAAGCACUUUCAGUGGGGAAGAAAGCCUUGGGGCUAAUACCCUCGAGGAAGGACAUUACCCACAGAAGAAGCACCGGCUAACUCCGUGCCAGCAGCCGCGGUAAUACGGAGGGUGCGAGCGUUAAUCGGAAUUACUGGGCGUAAAGCGCGCGUAGGCGGUCUGAUAAGCCGGUUGUGAAAGCCCCGGGCUCAACCUGGGAACGGCAUCCGGAACUGUCAGGCUGGAGUGCAGGAGAGGAAGGUAGAAUUCCCGGUGUAGCGGUGAAAUGCGUAGAGAUCGGGAGGAAUACCAGUGGCGAAGGCGGCCUUCUGGACUGACACUGACGCUGAGGUGCGAAAGCGUGGGUAGCAAACAGGAUUAGAUACCCGGGUAGUC